AAAGACUUAGUCCUAACCUUGCUGUUAACUAGUGCUAAACAUAUACAUGCAAGUAUCCGCGCCCCAGUGUAAAUGCCCUUAAUUUCUUACCAAGAUGACAGGAGCAGGCAUCAGGCACACUUUCUCAAUGUAGCCCAAGACGCCUUGCUUAGCCACACCCCCACGGGUACUCAGCAGUAAUUAACAUUAAGCAAUGAGUGUAAACUUGACUUAGCUAUAGCACUCACCCAGGGUUGGUAAAUCUUGUGCCAGCCACCGCGGUCAUACAAGAAACCCAAGCUAACAGCACACGGCGUAAAGAGCGGGUUCUUACCUAUCUAAAUAAUUAGGAUUAAAUCGCAACUAAGCUGUCAUACGCCCAAGGUGCGUCUAAAUCUACCCUUAAAAUGAUCCUAACCCUCCCGAUCAACUAACCCCCGCGAAAGCCAAGGCUC
This 434-nucleotide ribosomal RNA is filed under the name Astur gentilis (Northern goshawk). RNAcentral describes it as "Accipiter gentilis (Northern goshawk) partial 12S ribosomal RNA". Lineage: Eukaryota; Metazoa; Chordata; Aves; Accipitriformes; Accipitridae. The record is from RNAcentral.